UACGUAGGGGGCUAGCGUUGUCCGGAAUCAUUGGGCGUAAAGCGCGUGUAGGCGGUUCGGUAAGUCCGCUGUGAAAGUCGGGGGCUCAACCCUCGGAUGCCGGUGGAUACUGUCGAGCUUGAGUACGGAAGAGGCGAGUGGAAUUCCUGGUGUAGCGGUGAAAUGCGCAGAUAUCAGGAGGAACACCAAUUGCGAAGGCAGCUCGCUGGGACGUUACUGACGCUGAUGCGCGAAAGCCAGGGGAGCGAACGGG
This 253-nucleotide ribosomal RNA is filed under the name uncultured bacterium. Its description in RNAcentral is "partial 16S ribosomal RNA". It matches the Rfam family "Bacterial small subunit ribosomal RNA", at positions 524 to 776 of the family's 1533-position model. The record is from RNAcentral.